GGACUACCCGGGUAUCUAAUCCUGUUUGCUCCCCUAGCUUUCGUCCCUCAGCGUCAGUUGCGAUCCAGCGAGCCGCUUUCGCCUCGGAUGUUCCUGCAGAUAUCUACGCAUUUCACCGCUACACCUGCAAUUCCACUCGCCUCUCUCGCACUCCAGCACAGCAGUUUCGGGAGCAGCCUCCGGGUUAAGCCCGGAGAUUCCACUUCCGACUUGCUGCACCGCCUACGGACCCUUUACGCCCAGUAAUUCCGAGCAACGCUGGCCCCCUACGUUUUACCGCGGCGGCUGGCAC
This 292-nucleotide ribosomal RNA is filed under the name uncultured Acidobacteriota bacterium. RNAcentral describes it as "uncultured Acidobacteria bacterium partial 16S ribosomal RNA". Lineage: Bacteria; Pseudomonadati; Acidobacteriota. The record is from RNAcentral.